GAUGAACGCUGGCGGCGUGCUUAACACAUGCAAGUCGAACGGAGAUUACGGACGGAAGUUUUCGGAUGGAAGCCUGUAAUUCUUAGUGGCGGACGGGUGAGUAACGCGUGGGCAACCUGCCCUAUACAGGGGGAUAGCAGCUGGAAACGGCUGGUAAGACCGCAUAAGUCGGUUAAAUCGCAUGAUUUGAUCGGGAAAUGAGCAAUCAGGUAUAGGAUGGGCCCGCGUCCGAUUAGCCAGUUGGCAGGGUAAAAGCCUACCAAAGCGACGAUCGGUAGCCGGACUGAGAGGUCGGACGGCCACAUUGGGACUGAGACACGGCCCAAACUCCUACGGGAGGCAGCAGUGGGGGAUAUUGCACAAUGGAGGAAACUCUGAUGCAGCGACGCCGCGUGAGUGAAGAAGUAUUUCGGUAUGUAAAGCUCUAUCAGCAGGGAAGAUGAUGACGGUACCUGACUAAGAAGCCCCGGCUAACUACGUG
RNAcentral lists this ribosomal RNA (481 nucleotides) under uncultured bacterium. Its description in RNAcentral is "partial 16S ribosomal RNA". It matches the Rfam family "Bacterial small subunit ribosomal RNA", at positions 28 to 507 of the family's 1533-position model. The record is from RNAcentral.